This 665-nucleotide long non-coding RNA is filed under the name Bos taurus (domestic cattle). Its description in RNAcentral is "long non-coding RNA NONBTAT021887". Lineage: Eukaryota; Metazoa; Chordata; Mammalia; Artiodactyla; Bovidae. The record is from RNAcentral.
GUGUUUAACAUAUAUUUAGUAUGAUGGUACAUGAAAAAAUAAAAUAUAUCAAUCUUAAAUGUUCUUUUAAAGAUAAAAGCUAUAAAUAGUCUUGUAUUAGGUAUCUAAAGAAUCUUUGAAGUCACCUAGCAUAAAAACUGAACUAUUGUGUUUAUGGUCAAUUUACUGGAAUCUAUAUUAGCAACACUUUACAAUGUGUUUAUUCUUUAGAGUUAGUCAAGAUUUAUUACUAUUAUUAUUUAUUAGUUUGUUAGAUGCAAAAAAUAAGUUCUCUACACGGUUGGAAGUAUACAAAUCUGGGUUACUCUGGCAAGCAAUAACAACAAUGUUCAAAUGCCAUGUCUCCUAGCUUUUAUGCUGUUUGGCUCUUUAGAAUCAACAGAUGGUCAUCUUCAAUACCAUUACGAUAUGACUAGUUAAUAAGCCUAACAGAAAUUUUAACUUGUCUUUUUAAAGAGAAGACAUUUAUAAUAAAGAUACUAAAAAGCCAAGGGCUUCAAAUUGCAUGCAACAUGUGCCUACAAAUGAGAAACUAAAUGUUAAUCUGAAGUUUUCUAAAUGUAUAAAGAAAAAGCAAUGUGCUAGCCAACACAAUCACUGAACAAUAAAUCAUCAUGAAACACAGGCAAAUUCCUCCUUGCAGGCUCAAAACCUACCGGUAUAAA